Molecule: long non-coding RNA, 411 nt
Organism: Perognathus longimembris pacificus (Pacific pocket mouse)
Lineage: Eukaryota; Metazoa; Chordata; Mammalia; Rodentia; Heteromyidae
Exons: 3
Source: RefSeq, a predicted model, not a curated record
GAUGGUUUACUUCACGGAAAAAGCUGCCCUCUCCUGGAUUAAGAGCAGUCCCUCAGGCGGUACCCUGCUCCUUGUCAUAUGGACCUGCUCUUCCUCAGAACAGGCUGCUUUGGGUGAUGACCACCCCGUCCUCUUGUUCCGUGAGGUCCUCGCAUUGUCAGGCAACAACCAGAUAAGUAUAGCCCUAUACCAACCACUAGCAAGGCCAUGUCUGAAAGCAACAGGAAACUAGUGGCUGCUCCAUGUUCUUCUCCCUCACUGGCCCCCAAGUGUGCUAGAAUUAGUUCACAAGGCCAAACAGGGUCCUGAAGUACAAGUUUGCCCUUUAAAUUUUCAAUGGGGAAUUGCUGUUUAGACCUGUGCUGCUUAGCUGGUGUGCACAUUUCCUUUUGGAGUUUUCUGUGGUUAUUU